Molecule: ribosomal RNA, 1385 nt
Filed under: uncultured bacterium
Lineage: Bacteria
Description: bacterial SSU rRNA
Rfam family: Bacterial small subunit ribosomal RNA
Source: RNAcentral
AGAGUUUGAUCCUGGCUCAGGAUGAACGCUGGCGGCGUGCCUAACACAUGCAAGUCGAGCGAAGCAGUUAAGAAGAUUCUUCGGAUGAUUCUUAAUUGACUGAGCGGCGGACGGGUGAGUAACGCGUGGGUGACCUGCCCCAUACCGGGGGAUAACAGCUGGAAACGGCUGCUAAUACCGCAUAAGCGCACAGAGUUGCAUGGCUCGGUGUGAAAAACUCCGGUGGUAUGGGAUGGGCCCGCGUCUGAUUAGGCAGUUGGCGGGGUAACGGCCCACCAAACCGACGAUCAGUAGCCGGCCUGAGAGGGCGACCGGCCACAUUGGGACUGAGACACGGCCCAAACUCCUACGGGAGGCAGCAGUGGGGAAUAUUGCACAAUGGGGGAAACCCUGAUGCAGCGACGCCGCGUGAGCGAAGAAGUAUUUCGGUAUGUAAAGCUCUAUCAGCAGGGAAGAUAAUGACGGUACCUGACUAAGAAGCCCCGGCUAACUACGUGCCAGCAGCCGCGGUAAUACGUAGGGGGCAAGCGUUAUCCGGAUUUACUGGGUGUAAAGGGAGCGUAGGCGGUCCUGCAAGUCUGAUGUGAAAGGCCGGGGCUCAACCCCGGGACUGCAUUGGAAACUGUAGGACUAGAGUGUCGGAGGGGUAAGUGGAAUUCCUAGUGUAGCGGUGAAAUGCGUAGAUAUUAGGAGGAACACCAGUGGCGAAGGCGGCUUACUGGACGACUACUGACGCUGAGGCUCGAAAGCGUGGGGAGCAAACAGAAGUAGAUACCCUGGUAGUCCACGCCGUAAACGAUAAAUUCUUUGGUGUUGGCAGGUAAGACCUGUCGGUGCCGCAGCAUACGCAAUAAGUAUUCCACCUGGGGAGUUCGUUCGCAAGAAUGAAACUCAAAGGAAUUGACGGGGACCCGCACAAGCGGUGGAGCAUGUGGUUUAAUUCGAAGCAACGCGAAGAACCUUACCAAGUCUUGACAUCGAUCUGACCGGUUCGUAAUGGAACCUUUCCUUCGGGACAGAGAAGACAGGUGGUGCAUGGUUGUCGUCAGCUCGUGUCGUGAGAUGUUGGGUCAAGUCCCGCAACGAGCGCAACCCCUAUUGUCAGUAGCCAGCAGGUAGAGCUGGGCACUCUGAUGAGACUGCCAGGGAUAACCUGGAGGAAGGCGGGGACGACGUCAAAUCAUCAUGCCCCUUAUGAUUUGGGCUACACACGUGCUACAAUGGCGUAAACAAAGGGAAGCGAGCCCGCGAGGGGGAGCAAAUCCCAAAAAUAACGUCCCAGUUCGGACUGCAGUCUGCAACUCGACUGCACGAAGCUGGAAUCGCUAGUAAUCGCGAAUCAGAAUGUCGCGGUGAAUACGUUCCCGGGUCUUGCACACACCGCC